AAAUGGAUGAAGUCACAGCCGCUCAAGCAAAGGUUGCAGCCAAAUUGCUAACUGGUGCUGCAAGUGGCCAAGCUAGAGCCACUAGAGCUAAAGGAAAAUCCACACAUUUUUUGUUAAUUAGUAAUUGCCUUUCAAUUGCUUGCAGUGAAACUUACAAAGGCACAACCAUAAACUACUGAUUAACCCAACACCACAUGGGGCUCAUCGUUGGGUGGUUUCUUGUAAAUCAGUGCAUGUAUGUACACCAUAUGAGGUCUAGGAACCUCUGAAGCAUUUGCUAUUUGCUCCCAUGUACUGCAGUGCAGCGGAUCAG
Molecule: long non-coding RNA, 313 nt
Filed under: Triticum aestivum (bread wheat)
Lineage: Eukaryota; Viridiplantae; Streptophyta; Magnoliopsida; Poales; Poaceae
Description: long non-coding RNA (TAES_LNC024492)
Source: RNAcentral